RNAcentral lists this ribosomal RNA (246 nucleotides) under Klebsiella grimontii. RNAcentral's name for it is "partial 23S ribosomal RNA". It matches the Rfam family "Bacterial large subunit ribosomal RNA", at positions 231 to 514 of the family's 2925-position model. The record is from RNAcentral. Lineage: Bacteria; Pseudomonadati; Pseudomonadota; Gammaproteobacteria; Enterobacterales; Enterobacteriaceae.
GAGAUUCCCCCAGUAGCGGCGAGCGAACGGGGAGCAGCCCGGAGUCUGAAUCAGCUUGUGUGUUAGUGGAAGCGUCUGGAAAGUCGCAGGGUACAGGGUGAUACUCCCGUACACUAAAGCACACAGGCUGUGAACUCGAAGAGUAGGGCGGGACACGUGGUAUCCUGUCUGAAUAUGGGGGGACCAUCCUCCAAGGCUAAAUACUCCUGACUGACCGAUAGUGAACCAGUACCGUGAGGGAAAGGC